RNAcentral lists this ribosomal RNA (253 nucleotides) under uncultured prokaryote. RNAcentral's name for it is "partial 16S ribosomal RNA". It matches the Rfam family "Bacterial small subunit ribosomal RNA", at positions 524 to 776 of the family's 1533-position model. The record is from RNAcentral.
UACGUAGGGAGCAAGCGUUGUCCGGAAUUACAGGGCGUAAAGGGUGCGGAGGCGGCCGUUUAAGUUGGAUGUGAAAUACCCGGGCUCAACCUGGGGGGUGCAUUCAAAACUGGAUGGCUUGAGUGCAGGAGAGGGAAGCGGAAUUCCUAGUGUAGCGGUGAAAUGCGUAGAUAUUAGGAGGAACACCAGUGGCGAAGGCGGCUUUCUGGACUGUAACUGACGCUGAGGCACGAAAGCGUGGGGAGCAAACAGG